AUUAGUCAAUCGUAGUUCUAUGAUAUUAGUUUAUUAUUAGUGAUGCUAGUGGUGGGUACUAAAUUUUUAUUGUGAAUGUCCUAUAACGCGCAUCAAGUAAAAUCAAAAGACAUUUUUGUGGGCGGGAUUGAUCUUUCGUUCGACAUGCGCUCUGCAGUACAUUUUAGACCGAGGGCGGUAACCUUCCAAUAACCCUUCGUCUGGCUGCAAGGAAUUACGGUUCUUAUCUUUCGUCAGAAGCCGCUAGGCGCUGUGUUUGGUGGGUGUAGUUGCGGCUAAUUGAAAUUUGUUUACGUUUUCGCGUAUACAUUCAAUAUUUUCAAAACUAAUUUAUCACGUUGUUGUUCACUGUUAUGGAAUCUGAUAGCAGUUUGGGCGGAAAACCCUUUAAAAUAACGGAUAAUUUACGGGAAACACGGAAAGGUGUUGUCGCAACUUCGUUAGAGGAUUUAACCUCAAAAGUUCGUGAAAAGUUAGAAACCAUAAGCGGCGAUAAUAUCUUGGUCGUUCUUGAAGCAGACGGCACAGAAAUAGACGACGAAGAAUAUUUUGCGACUUUAGAGCCUAAUACCAGUCUUAUGAUUUUAACUAACGGCCAAAAGUGGCUUCCGUCGUAUCCUCGAUGCGAGUUUAACAGAGAUCAAGUGGAUGAUGGUAAGGGCGGAGAAUUGGCCGGUCUAGUUGGUCGGCUGAAAACCAAUCUUUGUCAUUUAUCGUUACUUGGAGGCGAAGAACUGGAACUGUUAAGCGAUAUGGAUCCGGAAUCCCUUGCGGAUCUGACGUAUCCGGACAAGAUAUUUCUGGAUCAGUUAAAGGAGGCUUCUGGAAGAUUUCUGUGUGAAAAAAGACAAGCCCAGGAUGCGCUCGAUUUGUUGCGAUUGUAUCAGGAAAAGGAAGCCUCCGAGUCUGAAAUUAAGUAAGACGACUUUGAAGGACCAUUACAGUAUUUAUUCUUACAAAUUGAACCCCUUUCAAUGUGGUUUUACCCAAUCUGCAUUCAAUAAGACUGAUGAUUUGCCAAUAAGCAACGGAGGCAUCAAAUUAACAAUUGCUCAAACACAGGAACACGUCACUAUAUUAAUAUUAGAAACACCAGUAGAAUUAUUAUGAUCGACGUUUUGCAUCGUAUAUAAUAAAUUUAGUGGGGGGUAUUUAGAAUAGUUUCUCGGAGAUGAUACGAAAUGGUGUUAAUCAAACUGAUCCAAAACUUCUUAUUACUUAUUUAUUUUAUUUCGUUUGCAUAGACCAAGAAAUUCUGUUUUAAUUUCGCAAAAUACGUUGGUUUUUUUUGUCGAGAACAAUCAGAAAUUUUAAAUAAAUCGAACGGUCCUUUGCAGUCGACUGGUAAAUUGCGAUUGAAGUUUUUCUUAGAAAUUAUAACGUCACAUCCUUCGAUGGUGACAAAAUAACUCAAUUACCUCCGCGUUAUAAAACGGGAUCAAAUAGAGAGGAGUGAUUUCUUUUGGUUGUGUUGGAUAAAAAAAUGUUGUGUAAACUGGAAAUUUUGCAAUUACAGGACUCGUCAGACUACAUUGUAACUGUUUCGUUUUCUACCACCUUGCUUUUGAUUCCACCAUGUUCCUACGCAUUGUUUCGAUGAGACAACAAAAUCUGUCCCAAAUGUAGCUCGUCAACAAUUCGUUCGCCAUAAAUCAAGGGCUCUUAUUUUAUCCUCGUAUAUAUCUUAUAUAGAGGAAGAGCGAAAAAUAAUGUUUUCAUCAUACACUUUCAAAUCAAUAUUUCAAAAUGAAAUCUACAAUCUAUGAAGUGGAGUUCAAUUAUUGAUGCUAACAAGGUCCUUCUUUGUCUACUAACUCUUGUAAGUCUUGAUACCGUAUCAUAGUUCUAAUGACGGUAUUCUGUUUUAUAUAUCUUGUUCAAAUUUUAAUUUACGAAUCUUAUUAUAAAUAGUUUCUAUAAAGUAUCAGUUUAAAACGUUGGAACAAAUUUUCAAAAAUUUAACAGUUUCGUUUUUCUUUCAAUAAACCAGAUCAUGAAAUUUUAAAUGAGAUCAAUCAACAUCAAAUGUGUUUUCCAAUUGUAAAUUAUUUGAACAACAAUAUAAGUAAAAGAAAAAUACAAUUUAAUUUUGUAGACUUUCUCUUGUCAUUGGAGAUAGUAGUUUCAGAUUUCAUUUUUUUUUCAUUUGAAUUAUUUAGUUAAUUAGUUUUAUAUGUGGCUAGCUAGGAUUAUUUUAUUUAUAUCUAUUCAACUUCAGAAGUUCAUCUGAAUCCGUCUUACAGGCAAUAAAGUUUGCUUGAGAGGUAAAUUUCGUUAUCCAACAACCAUCCUAAUACCAAAUCUUUGGAUUAAAUUACCUACGUUACACGUCCUGUCGAUAUCUUAUUUCCCAUUUGUUUACUAUCAUUGGACUUGGAAAAUAUUGUAUUACUUUAAUAUUCAUCAGGGUGGGGGUUGACAAUAUAAUAACCGUCAUCUAAAUACCACUUCCAUAAUAUACGCAACAAGAAAAUUUAAAUAGUCGUAAAACGUCCUUCGCAAAUUUACUUUGUGUUUUUAAUUUAAAAAGUGAGAGAUCUUCGUAUCUGGGAUUAAGAUUUGUUUUUCUUCUACUUACAUACAUAUUUUGUCAAUUUAGUCCAAGUAAUUGACCAUGAUAUUUUUUCGGCAUUAGCAACAUUUAAAUACGAGAUGCUAUUUUAAAUACUCCGAUUUAAGGGCACUUUUUCACCUACCUUGUGAUGUUUAACCCUUUCAAUGAAGAUAUGUAGGCGUUUGACGACAUUUUGUAAUUAAUUUAGCCUGAUGUAGGUGUCCAUUUUGACAUUAUGUUAUCCAUUUUCUAGAACUUAUUUUUGAAAACAAGAUGGCCAAGAACUGUUUAUAUCAAACGGAUAUUUUUAUCAUACUUAUUUAAUAACAACGAACUCACAUUUGGUUGCGAGACAUGUUAAGCUAAGUGCCUUAUUUUAAUGAAUUUAUUCACUUCCUAAUAUAAAACAGAAUACAUAUUUUUGAAAUUAAUUUUUCAAAAUGUGGUUUCUAACAUAUUUUGAUAAUUAUGUUACUCGGUAUGGGAUGUUCGAAAAAUUCUCCAUACACCGCAGAUGAAAUGACUACCAAAAUCUAGUUUUCGAUUUAGACUCUUUAGCGCAUCAUAUGUUAAUGAGAGAGUGAUGAUUGAUUUGAAAACAGUGAAAUAAACUAUAUAUUGGGGCUAGGCUAGACGUUUUCAGGAAACUUUUUUUGACAUUUUUGUGUAAUAAAAAAUACUAGCAACUGAUUUUUUACUAUCUGGCAUUUGCACACUACCACACAAAGUCCACUAAGCAAAAUUCUUUUUUUCUAAACCUUUGACAAGGUUUCUAAGACUCAGUUGUCACAUGUUCGACUCCAAUGUGACCAAAUUUAUUUAGGUUCUUUUAAAAAUAUUUUGGGGGAUCCGCCAUUUGGUCAACAAUUACUUGGUUAUACUUUUUCGAUUUUCAAGCUCUAACGACGAUAAAAUCGUCGGGCGGACAAAGAUAUCUCGCUCUAGAAAGGUCAAAUAUUGAUUUUGUGAAUGUCAUUGACCGAGAACCACACUGCAAGCACAACGAAUGCACGCGCAAAAAUUCAUUAUACGUUCACCAAUUUCGAUUUAUGUCGAAACGUAUUUUUCAUGCGAAUAUUAAAAUUUAUCGAAACCACUUCGCCGAUGAAAUUUUGGUUUCGAGUUAACUACUCAAAGUUAUACUCUUCAGGUUUUUGUUUAGUUUUAACGGCCAUCUUGUUUUAAUUCAUUAAAUAUUGCAGCGCGAUAUGGGAUACGAUUUAUUAGUGAUAAUGACAUAGGAAUUGGGUGUGUAUAGCUGUGAUAAUUAGGUUUUACUCGCUUUCUAUAAUGUAAAUUCGGAUAUUGAUCGAACUUCUCACUAAUAAUAGUUGUCCCAAAGUGUCUUCUUACCGCUGAUAAUAAUAUCCUAACGUAAAGUUUCUCAUCAUUUAUUAAUAUAUUGUUACUGGGUAUAUGAAGCACCUAUUAUUUGGACAUGUAUUUAUCUCGUACCCCUUGUAUACCAUUGAUUAAUAAAACAGUGUUGUA
RNA transcript from Cylas formicarius (sweet potato weevil), 4045 nucleotides. It is a transcript of the gene named DNA fragmentation factor subunit alpha-like, with no coding region annotated. The record is from RefSeq and is a predicted model, not a curated record. NCBI's taxonomy places the organism in Eukaryota, Metazoa, Arthropoda, Insecta, Coleoptera, Brentidae. The transcript has 2 exons.